This 392-nucleotide ribosomal RNA is filed under the name Annelida sp. Its description in RNAcentral is "partial small subunit ribosomal RNA". It matches the Rfam family "Eukaryotic small subunit ribosomal RNA", at positions 582 to 975 of the family's 1831-position model. The record is from RNAcentral. Lineage: Eukaryota; Metazoa; Annelida.
AUUCCAGCUCCAGUAGCGUAUAUUAAAGUUGUUGCAGCUAAAAAGCUCGUAGUUGGAUCUCGGGUCGUCGGUAGGGGUUCAGGUUCAUGCCUGCUUACUCCUGUCGAUACCUAACUGGUGGGACGCUGUGGGUGCCCUUGACUGGGUCGCCUACUGCACCCGCUCAAUUUACUUUGAAAAAAUUAGAGUGUUCAAGGCAGGCUCACACGCCUGUAUAAUGGUGCAUGGAAUAAUGGAAUAGGAUCUCGGUUCUAUUUUGUUGGUUUUCGGAACUAGAGAUAAUGAUUAAGAGGGACAGACGGGGGCAUUCGUAUUGCGGUGUUAGAGGUGAAAUUCUUGGAUCGCCGCAAGACGAACUACUGCGAAAGCAUUUGCCAAGAAUGUUUUCAUUA